This 433-nucleotide ribosomal RNA is filed under the name uncultured bacterium. Its description in RNAcentral is "partial 16S ribosomal RNA". It matches the Rfam family "Bacterial small subunit ribosomal RNA", at positions 29 to 507 of the family's 1533-position model. The record is from RNAcentral.
AGCGAACGCUGGCGGCAGGCCUAACACAUGCAAGUCGAACGGACCCUUCGGGGUUAGUGGCGGACGGGUGAGUAACACGUGGGAACGUGCCUUUAGGUUCGGAAUAGCUCCUGGAAACGGGUGGUAAUGCCGAAUGUGCCCUUCGGGGGAAAGAUUUAUCGCCUUUAGAGCGGCCCGCGUCUGAUUAGCUAGUUGGUGAGGUAACGGCACACCAAGGCGACGAUCAGUAGCUGGUCUGAGAGGAUGACCAGCCACACUGGGACUGAGACACGGCCCAGACUCCUACGGGAGGCAGCAGCGGGGAAUCUUGCGCAAUGGGCGAAAGCCUGACGCAGCCAUGCCGCGUGAAUGAUGAAGGUCUUAGGAUUGUAAAAUUCUUUCACCGGGGACGAUAAUGACGGUACCCGGAGAAGAAGCCCCGGCUAACUUCGUG